UAACUGAAGAGUUUGAUCAUGGCUCAGAUUGAACGCUGGCGGCAGGCCUAACACAUGCAAGUCGAGCGGAAACGAUCC
RNAcentral lists this ribosomal RNA (78 nucleotides) under Halomonas elongata. Its description in RNAcentral is "partial 16S ribosomal RNA". It matches the Rfam family "Bacterial small subunit ribosomal RNA", at positions 1 to 78 of the family's 1533-position model. The record is from RNAcentral. Lineage: Bacteria; Pseudomonadati; Pseudomonadota; Gammaproteobacteria; Oceanospirillales; Halomonadaceae.